Long non-coding RNA from Nerophis ophidion (straightnose pipefish), 4191 nucleotides. RefSeq lists it as uncharacterized. The record is from RefSeq and is a predicted model, not a curated record. The transcript is spliced from 3 exons. NCBI's taxonomy places the organism in Eukaryota, Metazoa, Chordata, Actinopteri, Syngnathiformes, Syngnathidae.
ACUAUUAUGUUGGAUCCACUAUGGACUGGACUCUCACUAUUAUGUUAGAUCCACUGUGGACUGGACUCUCACUAUUAUGUUAGAUCCACUGUGGACUGGACUCUCACUAUUAUGUUGGAUGCACUAUGGACUGGAAUUUCACUGUAGAGGCGGUAGUCCCGGAGGGGAAAAGCAGGCUUCGAUAGAGAAGGGAGCCGAACGCUAAUAAGUCAGUCUUAUUACUUUUUCUCCAGUGUUUAAAUAUUCACGUUGUAUAAAUACAUUUUUGAGUCUUUACUUAGAGAUAAGAUUGUAUCGGUGCGCGAGAAGCAUUUCGCCGCGUUUCGUGCUGACUUAGCUUAGUUCGCUAGUUAGCUUAGUUGUUAGCUGCUAACAAAGACGCAGAAGUUGUCAACACAUCGCUGAGCAGCUAAAUAUCAUAUUUGACCAGACUGUGUGGUCUUAAGGGCUCGUCGUCAUGGGACCGAAGAGAACCCCAGCGGCGGAGGAAAACGAGGACAUUAAAAAGUCACUUUAAUUUGUUUCACAAGACGUAAAUGACAUACGGAUUAAACAGGAUAUCAUUCUUAAACUCGUGGAUGAAGUCACGGAGCUCCGUAUGUGCAUCCAGGAGAGGGAUAAGAAGAUUGGCGAGUUGAAGAGGAAAGUGGAAGAUCUGGAGCAGUAUUCUAGACUGAAUGAUGUGAUUGUGACGGGGCUAAAAGUUAAACCCCGCUCAUAUGCACAUGCUGCGGGGAGCGAGAGUGCAUCUGGGGACCCGGAGGCUGGCUCGGUGGAGGAGCAGGUUGUGGACUUUCUGGCUUCCAGAGACAUUCAUCUGGACGAGAACUCAAUCGAAGCGUGUCAUCCUCUGCCUGCAAAGAGGGACGUCAUGCCUGCUGUCAUACUGAGGCCGCUUGUUUUGGCAGCUGACCGGGGGAUGGGGGGUUGUGUGGGGGUACCCACAUAGCCUCCCCCUAAAGUCCGCCAUCCACCAUGCACACCCUCAUUAUGAUGAGCGCUGGCCUCGGAUUUACCUAAAGAAAGACCGAGGACGUCCCCUGCAGUUACUUGCAAGGAUGUCGAGGUCCAGUGGCCAUGGAUGAAGUGUUGGAUGUCCAGAGUCGGUGGACCGUUCGCCUGUGCAUCGGUUGGGGACAUUUCUGCGCUGAUGACCCGUCUCCGCUUGGGAUGGUCUCCUGCUGGCCCCACUAUGGACUGGACUCUCACUAUUAUGUUAGAUCCACUAUGGACUGAACUCUCACUAUUAUGUUAGAUCCACUAAGGAUUGGACUCUCACUAUUAUGUUAGAUCCACUAAGGACUGGACUCUCACUAUUAUGUUGGAUCCACUAUGGACUGGACUCUCACUAUUAUGUUGGAUCCACUAUGGACUGGACUCUCACUAUUAUGUUAGAUCCACUAUGGACUGAACUCUCACAAUUAUGUUAGAUCGACUAAGGACUGGACUCUCACUAUUUUGUUGGAUCCACAAUGGACUGGACUCUCACUAUUAUGCUAGAUCCACUAUGGACUGGACUCUCACUAUUAUGUUAGAUCCACAAUGGACUGGACUCUCACACUAUUAUGUUAGAUCCACUAUGGACUGGACUCUCGCACUAUUAUGUUAAAUCCACUAUGGACUGGACUCUCACUGUUAUGUUAGAUCCACUAUGGACUGGACUCUCACUAUUAAGUUAGAUCCACUAUGGACUGGACUCUCACACUAUUAUGUUAAAUCCACUAUGGACUGGACUCUCACUAUUAUGUUAGAUCCACUAUGGACUGGACUCUCACUAUUAUGCUAGAUCCACUAUGGACUGGACUCUCACUAUUAUGUUAGAUCCACUAUGGACUGGACUCUCACUAUUAUGUUAGAUCCACUAUGGACUGGACUCUCACUAUUAUGUUAGAUCCACUAUGGACUGGACUCUCACAAUAUUAUGUUCGACCCACUCGACGUCCUUUGCAUCCGGUCUCCCCUCGAGACGUCCCACAUGGGACAGUUCAGUAGAAAAGUAAACGUUGCUUGGAGUGUUGAAUUAACAAUCCUUUUCAGCAGAAAGGCUAUGGACCAAUAUACGGUAUUUCCGAUUCAAGGCACGAAACAGAAAGUCCACUUUCAACCCAUUCACUGCAGAACUGGUCACUGAUCAGCGUGUCUACAUGUAUCUCUCAUGUGUGACUGCCAUUUACUGGUCACCAUGUAGCAAAUAAAAUAGCUUUGUGGUCGAUAAGCAAAACCAGAAUUAUUCCGUACAUGAGUGCCGACCGGGUUAUAAGGCGCUCUGUCGAGUUUUGAGAAAAUGAAAGGAUUUUAAGUGUGCUUUAUAGUCCAAAAAAUACAGCAUUUGAUAUCUAAAUCUGCCUUCCGAAUCUUAAGGAGUAUUUUUUGAUGCGGCAGAUCAAUCGAUAGAUACCGCUGGUACCUUUUUUUGACAAAGAGGCUGAUUUUAACAGAAUACCGGAUUUCCUGAAAAACACGGGCGCCACAGAUCAGCGUGUCUACAUGUAUCUCUUAUGUGUGACUGCCAUCCACUGGUCACCAUGAAUUGAUUAGCUUACAAAUUGAAAAGCUUAUUCGGGUGUUACCAUUUAGUGGUCAAUUUUCGGAAUAUGUACUGUACUGUGCAGUCUCAAUCAAUCAAUCAAUCAAUCAAUCAAUCAAUCAAACCAUGUAGCAAAUAAAAUAGCGUUGAGGUCGGUAAACAAAACCGGAAUGAUUCCGUACAUGAGGCGCACCGUGUUAUAAGGCGCACUGUCGCGUUUUGAGAAAAUGAAAGGAUUUUAAGUGUGCCUUAUUGUCCAAAAAAUACAGCAUAAAUAUUCAAUUUGAUACAUGAAUCUGCCAUUCGAAACUUAAGGAAUAUUUUUUUUGACACGGCAGAUCGAUCGAUAUAUAUACUGUUGGUACCUUUUUUCGACAAAGAGGCUCAUUUUGACAAAACACCGGAUUUCCUAAGUGAGGAGGUCAAAAAAACACGGGCGCCACAGAUCAGCGUGUCUACAUUUAUCUCUUAUGUGUGACUGCCAUCUACUGGUCACCAUGAAUUGAUUAGCAUGGACCCCGACUUAAACAAAUUGAAAAGCUUAUUCAGGUGUUACAAUUUAGUGGUCAAUUUUCGGAAUAUGUACUGUACUGUGCAGUCUCAAUCAAUCAAUCAAUCAAAGUAUGUAGCAAAUAAAAUAGCGUCGAGGUCGGUAAGCAAAACCAGAAUAAUUCCGUACAUGAGGCGCACCGUGUUAAAAGGCGCACUGUCGCGUUUUGAGAAAAUUAAAGGAUUUUAAGUGUGCCUUAUUGUCCGAAAAAUACAGCAUAAAUAUUCAAUUUGAUACAUAAAUCUGCCAUUUGAAACUUAAGGAAUAUUUUUUUGGACACGGCAGAUCGAUCGAUAUAUACCUUUGGUACCUUUUUUUCGGACAAAGAGGCUCAUUUUGACAAAACACCGAAUUUCCUAAGCGAGGAGGUCAAAAAAACACGGGCGCCACAGUUCUACUUGUAUGUACAUGUUUCUCUUAUGUGUGACUGCCAUCUGCUGGUGACCAUGAAUUGAUCAGCAUGGACCCGGACUUAAAAAAAUUCAAAACUUAUUCGGGUGUUACCAUUUAGUGGUCAAUUUUCGGAAUAAGUACUGUACUGUGCAGUCUCAAUCAAUCAAUCAAACCAUGUAGCAAAUAAAAUUUCUGUAGGAAUGUAUUGUGAAGUGAAGUGAAUUAUAUUUAUAUAGCGCUUUUCUCUAGUGACUCAAAGCCCUUUUACAUAGAGAUACUCAAUAUCUAAGUUACAUUAAAACCAGGGAGCAGGUUGGUAAAGUGUCUCGCCCAAGGACACAACGGCAGAGACUAGGAUGGAGGAAGCGGGGAUCGAACCUGGAACCCUCAAGUUGCUGGCCACUAGUUACCGCCCAUUGUUUAUGUCGUCAUAUUGUCCGAUGCGACCACUCUUUAGAUUGAUCAAUCAAUCAUGAUCAAUCAGCUCCGGAGUUCUCCCCUUCAACUAUUGUAGUUGUUUGCGUUGUUUUGUUGUUUAUUUGAAAUUGUACUGUGCUCCCCUGCAGACUCCGCCUCCUUACUUAUUCAACAGUGUGUUUUCCAUCAUACUUGAAAAACCAAGAGCAGUUUGGUUAAUAUUUUAAGACAUCCCGCUUGCACUAGAGGGAGAGAGAGAGAGACAAAGAGCGAGGGGAAGAUGAAGACAUGAGGGGAAAGGAAA